AUACGUAUGGGGCAAGCGUUAUCCGGAUUCAUUGGGCGUAAAGAGCGCGUAGGCGGAUUGUUAAGUCAGAUGUGAAAACCGGGGGCCCAACCCGCGGCCUGCAUCUGAAACUGGCAGUCUUGAGUCUGGUAGAGGAAAGUGGAAUUCCUAGUGUAGCGGUGAAAUGCGCAGAUAUUAGGAGGAACACCAGUGGCGAAGGCGGCUUUCUGGGCCACGACGGACGCUGAGGCGCGAAAGCUAGGGGAGC
Molecule: ribosomal RNA, 247 nt
Filed under: uncultured bacterium
Lineage: Bacteria
Description: partial 16S ribosomal RNA
Rfam family: Bacterial small subunit ribosomal RNA
Source: RNAcentral